Molecule: ribosomal RNA, 512 nt
Filed under: Hapalopeza nitens
Lineage: Eukaryota; Metazoa; Arthropoda; Insecta; Mantodea; Gonypetidae
Description: partial 16S ribosomal RNA
Rfam family: Bacterial large subunit ribosomal RNA (bases 386-512)
Source: RNAcentral
GUUUUCUUGAUAGAUUAUAAGAAAUUUAACCUGCCCACUGAAUUUGAAUUUAAAGGGCCGCAGUAUUUUGACUGUGCAAAGGUAGCAUAAUCAUUAGUCUUUUAAUUAAGGGCUGGUAUGAAUGGUUGGACGAGGUAAAUUCUAUAUUAUAUUAAUAUAUAGAACUUAGAUUUUAAGUAAAAAUACUUAAAUAUUAUUAAGGGACGAGAAGACCCUAUAGAUUUUAAUAUUUUAAUUUUUAAUUAAGUUAAUUAAAAAUUAUUAAUUAUUAUGAUAUUUAUUUGAUUGGGGUGAUUAAAAGAUAAGGAUAACUCUUUUUUAUAUUAAAUUAUUUAAUUAGAUUUUUGAUCCAUUUUUUAUGAUUAUAAGAUUAAAUUACCUUAGGGAUAACAGCAUAAUUUUCCUUAAGAGUUCUAAUUGAAAGGAAAGAUUGUGACCUCGAUGUUGGAUUAAGAUAAAUUUUAGGUGUAGAUGUUUAAAAAUUAGGUCUGUUCGACCUUUAAAAUCUUACA